AAGGUGGUUUUCUAGGGUUCCGCAGUGCCCUCCCGCGCUGGUCUGGUCCGAGAGAAAACACAUAGCGAAGUAUCGUUAUGACACGGUGGGAUAAAAGCCCAGGAGUU
This is a regulatory RNA element of Bacillus licheniformis, 107 nucleotides long. It matches the Rfam family "Guanidine-I riboswitch aptamer". Rfam says of the family: This family represents a conserved RNA structure found upstream of the ykkC and yxkD genes in Bacillus subtilis and related genes in other bacteria. The function of this family is unclear although it has been suggested that it may function to switch on efflux pumps and detoxification systems in response to harmful environmental molecules. The record is from Rfam. NCBI's taxonomy places the organism in Bacteria, Bacillati, Bacillota, Bacilli, Caryophanales, Bacillaceae.